This 730-nucleotide ribosomal RNA is filed under the name uncultured bacterium. RNAcentral describes it as "bacterial SSU rRNA". It matches the Rfam family "Bacterial small subunit ribosomal RNA", at positions 771 to 1501 of the family's 1533-position model. The record is from RNAcentral.
AACAGGAUUAGAUACCCUGGUAGUCCACGCCGUAACCGAUGAGUGCUAAGUGUUAGGGGGUUUCCGCCCCUUAGUGCUGCAGCUAACGCAUUAAGCACUCCGCCUGGGGAGUACGGCCGCAAGGCUGAAACUCAAAGGAAUUGACGGGGGCCCGCACAAGCGGUGGAGCAUGUGGUUUAAUUCGAAGCAACGCGAAGAACCUUACCAGGUCUUGACAUCUCCUGACCGCCCUGGAGACAGGGUCUUCCCUUCGGGGACAGGAUGACAGGUGGUGCAUGGUUGUCGUCAGCUCGUGUCGUGAGAUGUUGGGUUAAGUCCCGCAACGAGCGCAACCCUUGUCCUUAGUUGCCAGCAUUCAGUUGGGCACUCUAAGGAGACUGCCGGCUAAAAGUCGGAGGAAGGUGGGGAUGACGUCAAAUCAUCAUGCCCCUUAUGACCUGGGCUACACACGUGCUACAAUGGGCGGUACAGAGGGCAGCGAACCCGCGAGGGGGAGCCAAUCCCAAAAAGCCGCUCUCAGUUCGGAUUGCAGGCUGCAACUCGCCUGCAUGAAGCCGGAAUCGCUAGUAAUCGCGGAUCAGCAUGCCGCGGUGAAUACGCUCCCGGGCCUUGUACACACCGCCCGUCACACCACGAGAGUUUGCAACACCCGAAGUCGGUGAGGUAACCGCAAGGAGCCAGCCGCCGAAGGUGGGGCAGAUGAUUGGGGUGAAGUCGUAACAAGGUAACC